UGAACGCCGGCGGAAUGCUUUACACAUGCAAGUCGAACGAUGAACCUUAGCUUGCUAGGGGGAUUAGUGGCGAACGGGUGAGUAAUAUAUCGGAACGUACCUUGUAAUGGGGGAUAACUAGUCGAAAGAUUAGCUAAUACCGCAUACGCCCUGAGGGGGAAAGUAGGGGAUCUUCGGACCUUACGUUAUAAGAGCGGCCGAUAUCUGAUUAGCUAGUUGGUGGGGUAAUGGCCUACCAAGGCGACGAUCAGUAGCUGGUCUGAGAGGACGGCCAGCCACACUGGAACUGAGACACGGUCCAGACUCCUACGGGAGGCAGCAGUGGGGAAUUUUGGACAAUGGGCGCAAGCCUGAUCCAGCCAUUCCGCGUGAGUGAAGAAGGCCUUCGGGUUGUAAAGCUCUUUCGCAAGGGAAGAAAACUUACACAAUAACACUGUGUGAGGCUGACGGUACCUUGAUAAGAAGCACCGGCUAACUACGUGCCAGCAGCCGCGGUAAUACGUAGGGUGCGAGCGUUAAUCGGAAUUACUGGGCGUAAAGCGUGCGCAGGCGGUUUUGUAAGUCAGAUGUGAAAUCCCCGAGCUCAACUUGGGAACUGCGUUUGAAACUACAAGACUAGAAUAUGUCAGAGGGGGGUAGAAUUCCACGUGUAGCAGUGAAAUGCGUAGAGAUGUGGAGGAAUACCAAUGGCGAAGGCAGCCCCCUGGGAUAAUAUUGACGCUCAUGCACGAAAGCGUGGGGAGCAAACAGGAUUAGAUACCCUGGUAGUCCACGCCCUAAACGAUGUCUACUAGUUGUUG
This 800-nucleotide ribosomal RNA is filed under the name uncultured bacterium. Its description in RNAcentral is "bacterial SSU rRNA". It matches the Rfam family "Bacterial small subunit ribosomal RNA", at positions 30 to 825 of the family's 1533-position model. The record is from RNAcentral.